GAGUUUGAUUCUGGCUCAGGAUGAACGCUGGCGGCGUGCUUAACACAUGCAAGUGAACGGACCCUUCGGGGUUAGUGGCGGACGGGUGAGUAACACGUAGGAAUCUACCCACAGAGGGGGACAACAGCGGGAAACUGCUGCUAAUACCCCAUAUGGCGCGAGCUGAAAAGAGUAUCGCCUGUGGAUGAGCCUGCGUCCGAUUAGCUAGUUGGUGGGGUAAUGGCCUACCAAGCGACGAUCAGUAGCUGGUCUGAGAGGACGAUCAGCCACACUGGGACUGAGACACGGCCAGACUCCUACGGGAGGCAGCAGUGGGGAAUUUUCCGCAAUGGGCGCAAGCCUGACGGAGAACGCCGCGUGAGGGAGGAAGGCCCUUGGGUUGUAAACCUCUUUUCUCAGGGAAGAAUUUGACGGUACCUGAGGAAUAAGCAUCGGCUAACUUCGUGCCAGCAGCCGCGGUAAGACGA
This 467-nucleotide ribosomal RNA is filed under the name uncultured Chroococcales cyanobacterium. RNAcentral's name for it is "bacterial SSU rRNA". It matches the Rfam family "Bacterial small subunit ribosomal RNA", at positions 9 to 528 of the family's 1533-position model. The record is from RNAcentral. Lineage: Bacteria; Bacillati; Cyanobacteriota; Cyanophyceae; Chroococcales.